GGAUGCGAUCAUACCAGCACUAAAGCAUCGGAUCCCAUCAGAACUCCGAAGUUAAGGGUGCCUGGGCAAGAGUAGUACUAGGAUGGGUGACCUCCUGGGAAGUCCUCGUGUUGCAUUUC
RNAcentral lists this ribosomal RNA (119 nucleotides) under Triticum aestivum (bread wheat). The record is from RNAcentral. RNAcentral also lists the same sequence under 1 other name. Lineage: Eukaryota; Viridiplantae; Streptophyta; Magnoliopsida; Poales; Poaceae.